Molecule: non-coding RNA, 333 nt
Organism: Ciona intestinalis (vase tunicate)
Lineage: Eukaryota; Metazoa; Chordata; Ascidiacea; Phlebobranchia; Cionidae
Source: RefSeq, a predicted model, not a curated record
AAAGCGACCACACCGACCACAUAAUCAUCAACGCAUUCAAGAUAAAUCUCAACGAAAUGGAUCGAAAGAUUGUUUUUGCUCUUCUUCUCUUGAUGUCUCUUCAAGUCGUCUUAGGAGUCUCUUUGGAUGACCAACCGGAUUUCGAAACUGAAAUUGAAGAUGAAAUUGCAGCUGCAGUAGAUGAUGGGUGGCUCGGUUACAAACCAACGAAUGCACAGGAUGGAUGGCUCGGCUACAUGCCAAAGAAUGCACAGGACGAAUAAGUGUCAAUAACUACCAGUGAGGACGAGAUUGAAUGUUGCCUCAAUAAACGAGAAUAAAAUAUACUCUGGU